RNAcentral lists this ribosomal RNA (471 nucleotides) under uncultured bacterium. Its description in RNAcentral is "partial 16S ribosomal RNA". It matches the Rfam family "Bacterial small subunit ribosomal RNA", at positions 28 to 507 of the family's 1533-position model. The record is from RNAcentral.
GACGAACGCUGGCGGCGUGCUUAACACAUGCAAGUCGAACGAUGAAGCCUAGCUUGCUAGGUGGAUUAGUGGCGAACGGGUGAGUAAUACGUGAGUGACCUACCUUUGACUCUGGGAUAAGCCUGGGAAACUGGGUCUAAUACCGGAUACGACCAAUCUCCGCAUGGGGUGUUGGUGGAAUGCGUUAUGGAGUGGUUUUAGAUGGGCUCACGGCCUAUCAGCUUGUUGGUGAGGUAAUGGCUUACCAAGGCGACGACGGGUAGCCGGCCUGAGAGGGUGACCGGCCACACUGGGACUGAGACACGGCCCAGACUCCUACGGGAGGCAGCAGUGGGGAAUAUUGCACAAUGGGCGCAAGCCUGAUGCAGCGACGCCGCGUGAGGGAUGACGGCCUUCGGGUUGUAAACCUCUGUUAGCAUCGAAGAAGCGAGAGUGACGGUAGGUGCAGAGAAAGCGCCGGCUAACUACGUG